This is a long non-coding RNA of Vitis riparia (riverbank grape), 3959 nucleotides long. RefSeq lists it as uncharacterized. Lineage: Eukaryota; Viridiplantae; Streptophyta; Magnoliopsida; Vitales; Vitaceae. The record is from RefSeq and is a predicted model, not a curated record. The transcript is spliced from 2 exons.
AUGAUGCCCCCAUUGUCAUCAGUUAAUAGUUCUUUUGAUUCAGAUUUUCAGUUUCUUGUCUCUCUAGGGCUAUUUGUUGAAGACUUGGUAGUUGGGUUUCAUACUUUCACAAGAUGAAUCAUGCAAAGUAAGCAAAACCCUGUUGGACUGACAUUAUUGCUUUUGUAUUUGGUUAUUUUAUAUAUUGAUGACAAUAAAAGAAAUUUCUUAAGCCAAAUGUACUGUGAUGCUAGGCAAGUGGUUCUUGGCUAAAAAAUUGAUUAUUUAUUUAUUUGCGUACUAUGAGAUGAUGUUCAUACACAUUCCAUAUCACUAGAAUGACUGCCCUAGUUCAACGGCAUGGUAACUACUCGGUGCAGAAAUUCAACUGAACAAAAGCCAUGGAGAAGUGGUGGCAUGGUAUCCACAUGACAUAUUUCAUCAUUAUCAUCAUCCUCUGUUUCCAGAGGAAGUUAGUAUAUUGCCAUAACUUAUUCAAAUGGCUCUCCCUAACUUAUAUAGGAGAGUAGGAAGUUUGUAAGCCUCUUAAAGCAAUCUACAAUUAUCUAUUGAGUGGAGGAGUAUGGAAGAUUAUAAAGAGGCCUAGAGAUGUUCACACAUCUUUACACAAUGUUGGAAGAUAAAAGAAGUGUUUUGAGUGUUUGAGAGUUCUAGAGAACUCUUGUAUAUGGCUUUGUACAUAACUUUCAUGUAAGCUUUUCUAGAGAGUUCUAAAUUAGUGAGGAACCUUUGUGGGUUUCAAAUAAUUUUUAGGUGACCUUAUUUGGCCAAGACACAAGCAAGUCGAGAGCUUCCUAGCAUUGCAAAGCAUUUUUGUGCAAUACAAAACUUCCUUUUAAGUGUUGCCCUCGUUGAGCAUCCUAGCUACCAACUCACUUAGCAUUACUUAGCAUAGCAAGUUAAGAUCGGGGAAAGAAUGACUUAGCAAUAUGAAGUAUUUUGAAUUGUCUAAGUGUCGCACGUGAGUUUAAGAAAGGCUUAAAUCUGUGACAAUAUACUGCUUGAACAUGACUACAAACCCCAAAACUGGAUAUUAGUUUAUGAUGAAGAAUGCAUAUCUUAUGACUUCAUUUAUGGAGUAUUGAUGAUAGGUGGUCAGCACUGAUGCUGUUGUAGUACCGUUUUCUUUCAGAAGAAGAUGCUCAGAGAUCAUAAGGAGCCGAUCUAAUUAACUGAUUUCAAGGAUUUGGUUUGUUGUUUAAGAAAUUUUAACUUACUACACCAUAUGUUGGUCAAAACUGAGAUGAUAAAUAGUUUAAGUCAACAAGCUCCCCUUUUGUAUCAUGAAUAUCUUGAGCAAGUGUAGUUUUUAUGCAGGCAAUGCUAUCUCACAGAGAUACCUCAUUAGUGAGAGGGUCAAAGAUAAAAAACUGUACAAAUUGGGUACAAUGGAAGUAUUUUGCAAUUUUGAAGCCCCAUUUUGUGAGUAAGAAUAUGGUUUUAUGAGUAACAUGGAACUUUUUUUAUUUAUUUAAAACUUGCUGUCAGGAUAUAUUUUCUACUAUUUGAUAGUUUAUUCCACAUGCUUCUAGUUUCACAUUUCUGAAAAUGGAAAUGUGUCAAAUUUAUUGCCUUCAUCCCUUUCCUACAAAACAGAGUGCCCUGUUACCAUCAGUUCAGAAUUUCAGUUUCUUGUCUCAGCUUUGCUUUGCCAACUUGUGGGUAUUUUAAGUGGAGGUAUUUCUCCUUUCUCCAUGGCUGUUUCAGCCGGUUUAAGACUUGGUACUUGGUUUUCACACUCUCACCAUAUGAAUCAUGCAAAAAUAAGCAAAACCCUGUUGGACUGACAUUGUUGUUUCUGUAUUUGGUUAUUUAUAUUGAUAUAUUGAUUUAAUCCAGCCCUUCUUCUAAAGCUUUCCUUUUUUUCCCCAACAUCAGUAGGAAAAUCAAACAAUAAAAAAAUUUCUUAAGCUAAAUGUAUUGUGAUGCUAGGCAAGUAGUAAUUUAUUUGCAUACUAUGAGAUGAUGUUCAUACACAUUCCAUAUCACUAGAAUGACUGUCUUGAUUCAGUGGCAUGCUAACUACUCACUGCAGAGAUUCAACUAUUUAUUUGCAGAAUCCUUGGCAAAUCCAUGGAGAAUUGGUGGCAUGGUAUCUACAUGACAUGCUCCAUCAUCAUCCUCCUCCUCCUCCUCCUCCUCUGUUUGUAGAGGAAGCUAGCAUAUGCUGCUCGAACAUUACUGCAAAACCCAAAUCUCAGGAGGACUUCAUUUUUGGAGGAAGCAUAUACACUGAUCUUCAGGGGCAGCUUGAACGACCCGUUUAAAGUAGCUUGAGGCUAUAUCUUGGUCCUGGUGGAGCUCCCACACUAACUUUCAAUAUUAAGAAAAGAUUUCACCAUCUUUUGGAUCUGCCAGAAUGGCUCGACCCAAGUAUUCCUCUGUUCCUUGGAGAUCAUGCUUUGACUGUCAAAAUGACAUGUAAGUAUGCUUCUGUACUAGAAGGAAAAUAUUUUUGUUGUGCUUUCUUAUGAACUGCUUUAACCAAAUUCCUAUUUUUUGCCCUGCAAACUGUGCUGAUACAGAAAGAAAUUGAAGAAGAUGAAAGCAUUCUCACCUAAUACAGAAACUGAGCAUAAUUCCUCAGAAACAAAGGGUUGUUAGGAUUCCCCCCCAACCCACCAUCCUUUUGUAAUACUCUUCCACUCCUGGCCUAUGGUCCGCCGCUGUCCUUGCCAAAGCCUUUUGGAAUAAAAUUCCCUCCACCACCACUGCUGCCUCGCUGUGCCCCCCCUCCACCCCCCCGUCCCCCCAACACAAAUCAACAUCACUCACACCGAGUCCUCUUGCAAGAUACAUUUCUUAACCAACCAGCUCAUUUUCCUCUUCAAAAGCCACAUUCCUACCUCCAUUCUCCCUAAUAAAGCCCAUCAUUUUUAUGUUUUCUAUGCUGAAUUCAUCAUCUCCCAUAGCCAUGAAUCUCUCUCCAUCAUUUUCCUCCAACUCUUCCUGCUCUUCCUCAUCCUUUUCUUCUUCCUCAUCACUGUCUUCAUCCUCAUUCAUGCAACUUAAACUAAAAAAUGAGAAAGAUGGUAAAGUCUGCAACAGUGAGCAACUGGGUCUCCACAGAUUUCCUUGGGAAGGUUUCAGGUACUACUAAACUCAUCCUUGUUGUUGCAAGAUGCAUAAGCCAGGCCUUUCAAAUUCCCAUCAAAUUGAGCUUUUCAAAAGCCUCUAUGGUCAACAUUAACCGAUGGAGAGAUAGGAGAGGAGCUGAAAGAGAUUAAGGAUAGAUUCAAAGACCCAGUUUGAUGCAGUAAGAGCAUGUUGUGAGCUUGAUGAAUGGUGGUUGUAGGGUGUUUGAUAGUUGCAUCAGAAAGGUUGUUGGAACUGUCUGAAAAGCAUGGCAGGAGGGAACCAAGAACUGGUGUUGAAUAGCUCUUGAGCAGCCUUUCUCUCCUUUUAACAAUAGCUUUGGUGGCUGCUGUUUGUGUUACAUGUGAAGAUCUAUCAAAAAGAAAACAAGCUGAGAGACGGAAGAUCUUUCAAUGAAAAUACUAUGCCUUUCUGCUUAGAUUGUGGAAGGGGAAGAGGCAGAGGCAGAGGCAGUUACCAAACAGAUGUGCCAAGAGCUUGGGGUUCUGUUGCUAGAGGCAACAGUUUCCUUCAGCAUGGUUUGCAACAAGAUUAAGGGUCAUAAGACAGAAUUAUCUAAAAGUGGGCAGCCCUAUUCAGGGUCCAUGUUGAGGCUUCUUAGAUUGUUUCUAGCCGAGGUGAUUAUUGCAUCCAUGGUUUCUGGAAAGAACAACCAAGGGGUCAUGGUUUUGAAUGGAUGGAGUGUUGUAUUUAUUCUGUCUUCCUACUCUUCCACUUGAAUGGAUUUUAUCAUGCAAUUCAAAGUAUUUUUGCAUUUUGAAGCCCCGUGUUGUGAGUGUAAAAAUAUGGUUUCAUGGGUUACAUGGAACUUUUUUUAAUUUACUUAAAACUUGCUGUCUGGAUAUAUUUUCUAUGUUAUGGUU